GACGAACGCUGGCGGCGUGCCUAAUACAUGCAAGUUGAGCGCUGAAGGUUGGUACUUGUACCAACUGGAUGAGCAGCGAACGGGUGAGUAACGCGUGGGGAAUCUGCCUUUGAGCGGGGGACAACAUUUGGAAACGAAUGCUAAUACCGCAUAAAAACUUUAAACACAAGUUUUAAGUUUGAAAGAUGCAAUUGCAUCACUCAAAGAUGAUCCCGCGUUGUAUUAGCUAGUUGGUGAGGUAAAGGCUCACCAAGGCGAUGAUACAUAGCCGACCUGAGAGGGUGAUCGGCCAGAUUGGGACUGAGACACGGCCCAAACUCCUACGGGAGGCAGGAGUAGGGAAUCUUCGGCAAUGGACGAAAGGCUGACCGGGCAAGGCCGCGUGAGUGAAGAAGGUUUUCGGAUCGUAAAACUCUGUUGGUAGAGAAGAACGUUGGUGAGAGUGGAAAGCUCAUCAAGUGACGGUAACUACCCAGAAAGGGACGGCUAACUACGUG
This 497-nucleotide ribosomal RNA is filed under the name uncultured bacterium. RNAcentral describes it as "partial 16S ribosomal RNA". It matches the Rfam family "Bacterial small subunit ribosomal RNA", at positions 28 to 507 of the family's 1533-position model. The record is from RNAcentral.